RNAcentral lists this ribosomal RNA (329 nucleotides) under Capnocytophaga sp. AHN9544. RNAcentral's name for it is "bacterial SSU rRNA". It matches the Rfam family "Bacterial small subunit ribosomal RNA", at positions 106 to 434 of the family's 1533-position model. The record is from RNAcentral. Lineage: Bacteria; Pseudomonadati; Bacteroidota; Flavobacteriia; Flavobacteriales; Flavobacteriaceae.
GUGCGUAACGCGUAUACAAUCUGCCUUUCACUGGGGGAUAGCCCGAAGAAAUUUGGAUUAAUACCCCAUAGUAUAGUAAUACGGCAUCGUGAUACUAUUAAAGCUUAGGUGGUGAAAGAUGAGUAUGCGUUCUAUUAGCUAGUUGGAGAGGUAACGGCUCCCCAAGGCUACGAUAGAUAGGGGUUCUGAGAGGGAUGUCCCCCACACUGGUACUGAGAUACGGACCAGACUCCUACGGGAGGCAGCAGUGAGGAAUAUUGGACAAUGGUCGGAAGACUGAUCCAGCCAUGCCGCGUGCAGGAUGACUGCCCUAUGGGUUGUAAACUGCU